GAUGAACGCUGGCGGCGUGCUUAACACAUGCAAGUCGAACGAUGAAGCCCAGCUUGCUGGGUGGAUUAGUGGCGAACGGGUGAGUAACACGUGAGUAACCUGCCCUUAACUCUGGGAUAAGCCUGGGAAACUGGGUCUAAUACCGGAUAGGAGCGUCCACCGCAUGGUGGGUGUUGGAAAGAUUUAUCGGUUUUGGAUGGACUCGCGGCCUAUCAGCUUGUUGGUGAGGUAAUGGCUCACCAAGGCGACGACGGGUAGCCGGCCUGAGAGGGUGACCGGCCACACUGGGACUGAGACACGGCCCAGACUCCUACGGGAGGCAGCAGUGGGGAAUAUUGCACAAUGGGCGCAAGCCUGAUGCAGCGACGCCGCGUGAGGGAUGACGGCCUUCGGGUUGUAAACCUCUUUCAGUAGGGAAGAGGCGAAAGUGACGGUACCUGCAGAAGAAGCAUCGGCUAACUACGUG
RNAcentral lists this ribosomal RNA (466 nucleotides) under uncultured bacterium. RNAcentral describes it as "partial 16S ribosomal RNA". It matches the Rfam family "Bacterial small subunit ribosomal RNA", at positions 28 to 507 of the family's 1533-position model. The record is from RNAcentral.